AUUGAACGCUGGCGGCAGGCCUAACACAUGCAAGUCGAACGGUAACAGGAAACAGCUUGCUGUUUCGCUGACGAGUGGCGGACGGGUGAGUAAUGUCUGGGAAACUGCCUGAUGGAGGGGGAUAACUACUGGAAACGGUAGCUAAUACCGCAUAACGUCGCAAGACCAAAGAGGGGGACCUUCGGGCCUCUUGCCAUCGGAUGCGCCCAGAUGGGAUUAGCUAGUAGGUGGGGUAACGGCUCACCUAGGCGACGAUCCCUAGCUGGUCUGAGAGGAUGACCAGCCACACUGGAACUGAGACACGGUCCAGACUCCUACGGGAGGCAGCAGUGGGGAAUAUUGCACAAUGGGCGCAAGCCUGAUGCAGCCAUGCCGCGUGUAUGAAGAAGGCCUUCGGGUUGUAAAGUACUUUCAGCGGGGAUGAAGGGAGUAAAGUUAAUACCUUUGCUCAUUGACGUUACCCGCAGAAGAAGCACCGGCUAACUCCGUG
Molecule: ribosomal RNA, 490 nt
Filed under: uncultured bacterium
Lineage: Bacteria
Description: partial 16S ribosomal RNA
Rfam family: Bacterial small subunit ribosomal RNA
Source: RNAcentral